CCUACGGGAGGCAGCAGUGGGGAAUCUUCCACAAUGGGCGGAAGCCUGACGGAGCAACGCCGCGUGAUCGAAUGAAGGCCUUCGUGUUGUAAAGAUCAGCUGACAGGGACGAAUAAGCCAUACGAAUAGUUUGAUGUAUGACGAUACCUGUUUCGAAAGCUCCGGCUAACUACGUGCCAGCAGCCGCGGUAAUACGUAGGGAGCAAGCGUUGUCCGGAAUUACUGGGCGUAAAGGGCGCGUAGGUGGGGGCUUAAGUCAGGUGUGAAAACUCUGGGCUCAACCUGGGGACUGCACUUGAAACUGGGUAUCUGGAGGGCAGGAGAGGAAAGUGGAAUUCCUAGUGUAGCGGUGAAAUGCGUAGAUAUUAGGAGGAACACCAGUGGCGAAGGCGACUUUCUGGACUGUACCUGACGCUGAGGCGCGAAAGCGUGGGUAGCGAACGGGAUUAGAUACCCGUGUAGUC
This 464-nucleotide ribosomal RNA is filed under the name uncultured bacterium. RNAcentral describes it as "partial 16S ribosomal RNA". It matches the Rfam family "Bacterial small subunit ribosomal RNA", at positions 338 to 795 of the family's 1533-position model. The record is from RNAcentral.